RNAcentral lists this unclassified non-coding RNA (347 nucleotides) under uncultured fungus. RNAcentral describes it as "partial contains 5.8S ribosomal RNA and internal transcribed spacer 2". The stretch from base 1 to 133 matches the Rfam family "5.8S ribosomal RNA", at positions 22 to 154 of the family's 154-position model. The record is from RNAcentral. Lineage: Eukaryota; Fungi.
UGGUUCUGGCAACGAUGAAGAACGCAGCGAAAUGCGAUAAGUAAUGUGAAUUGCAGAAUUCCGUGAAUCAUCAAAUCUUUGAACGCACAUUGCGCCCACUAGCACUCUAGUGGGCAUGCCUGUUCGAGCGUCAUUACGACCCUCAGGCCUGCGCCCCCGGGGGGGCGCAGGCCUGGCGUUGGGGCGCUACAGCGCAUACGCGCUGUAGGCUCCGAAUUUCAGUGGCGGACCCGCCGGGGCCUCAGCGCAGUAGACUCUGUUCGCUAGGGGAGCUCCGGCGCGUGCCCUGCCGUAAAGACCCCUAAACUCACAAGGUUGACCUCGGAUCAGGUAGGAAUACCCGCUGA